AGAUUAUUGCACUGAUGGCUGAGCAUUGUUGUGAGGAAUUUGUGACUGCAGUUCCUACUUGAAUUCAUUUACAUAACAAGAUGUUCAGAUCUAUACUUUGUCUCGUUUUAGGCAAUGCUCAUUUACUGGAUAUUACAUACGUAUAAUAAAACGUAGUACAGCUAUAAGCGAUAUUAUCUUUAUAUAUUCACUUAUGUAUUUAAAUUAUGCUGGCCCAUGUUUUAAUAAUUAAAAGUUGGAUAAGUUUCAUCACCCGGCAUAAAAAAGACUGGGUAACAUUUUAUUAUUUACAAGAUGACACUGUCAAAAGAAUUUUACAAAAAUCAUAAUUUUGGAGAAAAAUUAAAUUCAUUUGGAUCGCAUGUCACAUUGCAUUGUAACGCAAGCCUAUAUCGGUUCAUACCCCCAACAUUUCCAACAAAGGAAUUUUUGAAGUUUUACGGAAGAUAUGACAACAUGAGAAACAUUCAAUUCAAGAGUUUCACAGUAUCCAUGAGCCUUGGUAUUUGUGCAGUUAUAUAGUCGUCGUGAUACAUCAGUAUGUUGAGUGCUUAUACACAAUGGUUUAUGAUAAUUAGCACGACUUUCUUUAACUCUUCCCCUCCAACUUAAUUACUUGGCUGAAUUUAGAUACGCCGGUAUGUGGACUUUCGCCACACACGCAGGGACCGGAUUGGCGGUGGCAGGUCUUAGUGCAACGUAUUACGCCCUGGCCAGAAAAAAUGCUCAGGUGAAUCAUCUUCUUAAAUAAUUAACUUGUGAAUCUUUUUAUUGUUCGUUCGAUAAUAAUUGAUCAUAGUUCAUUUUCUGCGCAGUUGGAACGAGACAGCAGCACAAUUUGGGACGAUGGAGAUCGAAAUCGACUCGAUGAAAAAACUUUUAGUUCAAUGGCAGCUUUGACAACCUCUCAAAUGCUGUUGAAGAAGGAACUCGACAGUUUAUCACGAGAAAGUGGUCACAAUUUAGGUCUUAACACAUUCGAAGGGCAAAAUUACGCUCCAAUUCCAAGUAAACAUAAUGAAAUGCAGAUUAGAAGGAUUGUUAGCAGAGUGCAAACCAGUUUCUCCAUGGACCCACUUUUUAGCAACACAAAAUCAGACACGAGUUUCUCUGGAGUCGUCUCAGAUUCCCACCCAACUUUGGCCCCAAUAAGGCAGAUGAAUCAACAUGCAUAUGAUCAUAAUGCUGCUAGUCCAAAGCAAGAAUAUGCGUCCACCAGUGAGAGGACAUCUGAGGAAACGACUUUAGAAGGAUGCUUCUUGGUUGAGAGAACAAAGUCUCCGGUGGUUUACUACAAAAACCCGGACUUUGGGAAACGGUCAGCUGGAAGAACGUGCAUGGAUGUGUCCGACGUUUAUGCGGCUCCAGGGUUCAACAUCAACGAGGAAUCUUACGAUUGGACAGAUAAAGAUCAAUCAACUGACCGAGUGUACAAAGACAGCACGCGUUUUAUUUUUGCUCCAAUCCUCUCCGAAUCAGGAGUAUCGCUGUGUGACGACGACGACGACGACGAUGACCAUCAACAGUUCCUUAUUAAUGACGAGCCCACUGAGAUUGACUUUGACCAGGAACCCAAGUCUUUCGCUAGUAAAGAUCACUGGACUAGUGAUGGAUUGUCUCAAAUUGACGAAAUUCAUGACUACAAUUUGCAACUCCGACUGGGGCAAGGACUUGGCGUAAAUAGUGAUGACUCGGGGUUACUUGUCAGAAAUGAUCUAACCAUCCCGGAUUCACCUCGUAUGAGUUUAUUCGAUCAUGAUGACAAAGAAGAGAUGUUGGAAACUGCAGAGGAAUCUUUGGUUAAAUUAGAAGUUCCUGUAAAGAAUGAGUCCCCUGAGAUGGGUGAACUAGUGAUGGGUGUCCAUGAUGAAAUCGCUAGUGGAGGUGGAGACGGGGAUAAGAUUCAAAAAUCCACAAAAACUGACACCCUUGUUAUUGCCACCAUUGAUGAAUGUCAAGAUUGUUUCCCAAGAAUUUGUAUAGCACCUUCAACAUCAAUUUUGGGCAGAAUUCCGGAAAAUUCAUGGAUCGGAUGGCCGAUCAGACUCUACACCGACUUUGCAACAGAUCAUCCAACAGUGGUACUUUUAUUUCUUGGAGCAGUUAUUCUGCUUACAGCUCUUCUUGGAAAAUUAUUUAUCACGAUGGGAGAAUGGUUCGAGUAUAUAAACGAUAUCGACUAUAAUCCCGAUGCUUUGAUGGAACAUUAAAGUUAACGUACACCCGACCUCGACUCGAGUGCAAAUGCAUGAAAAUAAAUGUCAACCAUAAUUUAAAGCACUUAUUUUUAAUACACACAUGUUAAGUAUUUAUGUAUAAACAAGCUUCUAGAAUUGAAAAUUUUACUCAACAUUUUAGCAGCUAAUAUGUAUGAUGUCGAACACAACUAACUUAACAAAACCCAGUUAAUUUGUGUACCACCUACAAAACAAAACGGAUAUGUACACAAUGCAGGAAUGUUUUGAAUAAAGCAAGACCCAAUUAUGUACAUUUGUUUGACUUGUUUCUUCCACUGCAAGGCCAGAAAUAUGAGUCUCCAGUUUAGUUUAGUCUAGGAGAUUGUCCUUAAAGAAUGCAAUGUUAUCUGAUAUCUCCAAUUCCGUAUCUCUAAUCUUAACUGGAAACUAUGAUGACUCAAUAUUUUUAUGCUUUAACUACAUACAUAUGUAAAAUCACUUAUUGAAAAGUAUCUUAUUACUCUAAAGUUUAGAGUCUUAACUGAUAGAUUUUGUAACUAAUUGUAAGUCCUGUGCCACGGUAAUUCCAGUACUCAGCCUGUUAAAAAUGUGUUAAAUAAUAUUGUUGCAUAGAAUUCUGCACCAUUAAUUGUGAGAUUUUCUGACAUUCCGAAUUAAAAACUUUUAGAGACCUGACAGCUCUUAAAGAUGUCGAACGGUGGUGGUAGCGAGACUCCUCCCCCAGCCUACAGCCAAGUGGCCCAGCUGAACCAACUCCCACCUCAACGCCGACAAGCUCCACAGGUGGACGAGCUCAUCAGUCAGCACCGUCAUCACGUGUUCAGCAUUUUACUGGUCAAGGAUAAUCAAUUGCACUUGAUCGACUGCCCUCCCGGAUACUACGAGCUGGUCAGUGAAGCUAUCCAGGAGUACUGGGGAGCCAUAAAAACGACCACCUUCGCCAACAAUGGAACCAUAAAGUUCGUGCUUCAGGAGAUUGAUGCAUUUGGACCAUGGAGUGCUCUUCGUCGGACUGACCAGUCCAUCCGUUCUCGGCGUGUGAUUGGGGGAAUAAUGCAACGACUGGCUCGCCAUGGCUGGGGUCUCCUCCAAACCUGUGAAAUUUCUAUGAAGGAAAAUGGGAAGGACACCUUGUUCUUCGAGGACAGCUUAAUUGACCGUGAAGCCAGAAUCUUUGCCAUCUCGUUUUCUAGAACUGAUCGGCUCCGACUUAUCUCCGCGCCCAUAGGAUUCAUCACCAUCGUUCGCGACGUGAUCUCGUCCGUGUGGAAACGUGGAAUCCAGUCUUCAAAGAAUCUUUGCUCGGGAACUCAUGAAUUCAAGCUGUACGGAUUUCCGUGGGUUACAAGCGGCAUAGGGAUGGAAAAAUGCAAGCUGUUUACGAAAUUGUGCACAGAGAUGAGAAAUCACGGCUACAAGUUUCAUGCUUCGGUUAAGCUCACCCAGAAAUACAAGGAGAUGCCGACGUGGUAUUUCAGAAAGGUUACGCGAGUUUACAGCUAAAAAUCUAAAAUUACGCAAUUGCGCUUCCUCCUUCAUUUAAUUUACUUGAAAUGAGUUUUCCAGCAUUCUUGCAUUUUUCUACAAACCAUUAAUUAUUUUAUAGCUGCGUACUUACUCAGUAGUGUAUUGGAAUUGGAAUUAUUCAUUUAUGCAUUUAUAUCUACGUAGGCCAAAUAUUAUAUUAUGAUUAGUAUUAUGAGAACCAAUCAAUGCAUUCAUAUUUUCUGUCAAUAAUGUGAUAGCUAUUUAGAUAUUUGUUAAAUUGAAAUUCUUGAACCUUCACUUUGUAUAUUCUAAUAAAAAUAAUAGUACAUA
Folsomia candida is the source of this 4016-nucleotide RNA transcript. RefSeq lists it as uncharacterized. The record is from RefSeq and is a predicted model, not a curated record. The transcript has 2 exons. Lineage: Eukaryota; Metazoa; Arthropoda; Collembola; Entomobryomorpha; Isotomidae.